AGAGUUUGAUCAUGGCUCAGAACGAACGCUGGCGGCGUGCCUAACACAUGCAAGUCGAACGCGAAAGGGGGCAACCCCCGGUAGCGUGGCAGACGGGUGAGUAACACGUGGGUAACCUACCCGGAGGUGGGGGAUAACCCUUCGAAAGGAGGGCUAAUACCGCAUGACACCGCGGGGACCUCGGUCCUUGCGAUCAAAGCUGGCCUCUGUUUACAAGCUAGCGCCACCGGAUGGGCCCGCGCCCCAUUAGCUAGUUGGUGAGGUAACGGCUCACCAAGGCGACGAUGGGUAGCCGGCCUGAGAGGGCGAUCGGCCACACUGGAACUGCGACACGGUCCAGACUCCUACGGGAGGCAGCAGUGAGGAAUCUUGCGCAAUGGGCGAAAGCCUGACGCAGCGACGCCGCGUGGAGGAUGAAGGUCUUCGGAUUGUAAACUCCUGUCGAGUGGGACGAAUGCCGUGAGGGUGAACAACCUUCGCGGUUGACGGUACCGCUGGAGGAAGCCCCGGCUAACUCCGUGCCAGCAGCCGCGGUAAUACGGAGGGGGCUAGCGUUGUUCGGAAUCAUUGGGCGUAAAGGGCGCGUAGGCGGCCGAUCAAGUCGGAGGUGAAAUCCCUCGGCUCAACUGAGGAAUUGCCUUCGAUACUGUUCGGCUUGAGUCCUGGAGAGGGUAGCGGAAUUCCCGGUGUAGCGGUGAAAUGCGUAGAGACCGGGAAGAACACCAGUGGCGAAGGCGGCUACCUGGACAGGUACUGACGCUGAAGCGCGAAAGCUAGGGGAGCAAACAGGAUUAGAUACCCUAGUAGUCC
This 810-nucleotide ribosomal RNA is filed under the name uncultured bacterium. Its description in RNAcentral is "bacterial SSU rRNA". It matches the Rfam family "Bacterial small subunit ribosomal RNA", at positions 8 to 796 of the family's 1533-position model. The record is from RNAcentral.